RNAcentral lists this ribosomal RNA (334 nucleotides) under uncultured Leptolinea sp. RNAcentral describes it as "bacterial SSU rRNA". It matches the Rfam family "Bacterial small subunit ribosomal RNA", at positions 1036 to 1382 of the family's 1533-position model. The record is from RNAcentral. Lineage: Bacteria; Bacillati; Chloroflexota; Anaerolineae; Anaerolineales; Anaerolineaceae.
AGGUGGUGGCAUGGUUGUCGUCAGCUCGUGUCGUGAGAUGUUCGGUUAAGUCCGCUAACGAGCGCAACCCUCGCUGUGUGUUAUAUGUGUCACACGGGACGUGCCGGUCUUAAGCCGGAGGAAGGUGGGGAGUGAUGUCAAGUCAGCAUGGCCUUUAUAUCCUGGGCUACACACACGCUACAAUGGCCACACAAUAGGUUGCUAAGCCGCGAGGUGGCGCCAAUCCAUAAAGUUGGUCUCAGUUCAGAUUGUAGGCUGCAACCCGCCUGCAUGAAGAUGGAGUUGCUAGUAACCGCAGGUCAGCUAUACUGCGGUGAAUACGUUCCCGGGGCUU